This 496-nucleotide ribosomal RNA is filed under the name uncultured bacterium. Its description in RNAcentral is "partial 16S ribosomal RNA". It matches the Rfam family "Bacterial small subunit ribosomal RNA", at positions 29 to 507 of the family's 1533-position model. The record is from RNAcentral.
AUGAACGCUGGCGGCGUGCCUUAUCCAUGCAAGUCGCGCGAACGGACGAGAAGCUUGCUUCUCUGAUGUUAGCGGCGGACGGGUGAGUAACACGUGGAUAACCUACCUAUAAGACUGGGAUAACUUCGGGAAACCGUAGCUAAUACCGGAUAAUAUUUUGAACCGCAUGGUUCAAAAGUGAAAGACGGUCUUGCUGUCACUUAUAGAUGGAUCCGCGCUGCAUUAGCUAGUUGGUAAGGUAACGGCUUACCAAGGCAACGAUGCAUAGCCGACCUGAGAGGGUGAUCGGCCACACUGGAACUGAGACACGGUCCAGACUCCUACGGGAGGCAGCAGUAGGGAAUCUUCCGCAAUGGGCGAAAGCCUGACGGAGCAACGCCGCGUGAGUGAUGAAGGUCUUCGGAUCGUAAAACUCUGUUAUUAGGGAAGAACAUAUGUGUAAGUAACUGUGCACAUCUUGACGGUACCUAAUCAGAAAGCCACGGCUAACUACGUG